RNAcentral lists this unclassified non-coding RNA (334 nucleotides) under soil metagenome. Its description in RNAcentral is "partial contains 5.8S ribosomal RNA, internal transcribed spacer 2, and large subunit ribosomal RNA". The stretch from base 1 to 120 matches the Rfam family "5.8S ribosomal RNA", at positions 35 to 154 of the family's 154-position model. The record is from RNAcentral.
GAUGAAGAACGUAGCGAAAUGCGAUAAGUAGUGUGAAUUGCAGAAUUCAGUGAAUCAUCGAAUCUUUGAACGCACAUUGCGCCCCUUGGUAUUCCAUGGGGCAUGCCUGUUCGAGCGUCAUUUGUACCUUCAAGAUUUGCUUGGUGUUGGGUGUUUGUCCAUUCUCUUGCAGAGGGACUCGCCUUAAAGUAAUUGGCAGCCAGUGUUUUGGUUUUGAAGCGCAGCACAAGUCGCGAUUCAACGCUAUACGCCAGCUUCCACAAGCCUUUUUCACUUUUGACCUCGGAUCAGGUAGGGAUACCCGCUGAACUUAAGCAUAUCAAUAAGCGGAGGA